Molecule: long non-coding RNA, 280 nt
Organism: Polistes canadensis
Lineage: Eukaryota; Metazoa; Arthropoda; Insecta; Hymenoptera; Vespidae
Exons: 3
Source: RefSeq, a predicted model, not a curated record
AACAGUCGAUGUUUCCAUUUAUAGUUGAAAACAGACGAAUCAACAUCUUAUUUUAUACUUUAAAUCUAAAUGUGAACGAUUAAUUUUUGAACGAUCAUGGUCCUAAUGACCCCUACAAUUGUAGAUUUUUUAAAUAUUCGGUGUUUCCAAGGUCGUAUGGAGCUUUUAAUACUGAAUUAUAACCUAUAAAUAAAAAAUACUGUUUUAUUAAUGAAUAUGUCAAAUAUUCGUAUUGAAAAUGGAUGAUACUUGAUAUAAAACAUUUCUGCUCAAUUAAUGC